This 433-nucleotide ribosomal RNA is filed under the name uncultured bacterium. RNAcentral's name for it is "partial 16S ribosomal RNA". It matches the Rfam family "Bacterial small subunit ribosomal RNA", at positions 29 to 507 of the family's 1533-position model. The record is from RNAcentral.
AACGAACGCUGGCGGCAUGCCUAACACAUGCAAGUCGAACGAGACAUUCGGGUCUAGUCGCGCACGGGUGCGUAACGCGUGGGGACCUGCCCUUAGGUUCGGAAUAACUCAGAGAAAUUUGAGCUAAUACCGGCUAAUAUCUUCGGACCAAAGAUUUAUCGCCUUUGGAUGGGCCCGCGUAGGAUUAGCUUGUUGGUGGGGUAAUGCCCUACCAAGGCGACGAUCCUUAGCUGGUCAGAGAGGAUGAUCAGCCACACUGGGACUGAGACACGGCCCAGACUCCUACGGGAGGCAGCAGUGGGGAAUAUUGGACAAUGGGCGAAAGCAUGAUCCAGCAAGGCCGCGUGAGUGAUGAAGGCCUUAGGGUUGUAAAGCUCUUUUACCAGGGAUGAUAAUGACAGUACCUGGAGAAUAAGCUCCGGCUAACUCCGUG